RNAcentral lists this non-coding RNA (157 nucleotides) under Devosia sp. Its description in RNAcentral is "6S RNA". It matches the Rfam family "6S / SsrS RNA". Rfam says of the family: E. coli 6S RNA was the first non coding RNA to be sequenced, but its function was unknown until recently. It consists of 184 nucleotides that fold into an extended hairpin structure with a large single-stranded internal bulge. The record is from RNAcentral. RNAcentral also lists the same sequence under 1 other name. Lineage: Bacteria; Pseudomonadati; Pseudomonadota; Alphaproteobacteria; Hyphomicrobiales; Devosiaceae.
GUGUCGCUGCCCGGCGCGUGAGGACUUCAUAUUCCUGGGGCCUUAAUCGAUCUUGAGGGAGCUGUCCCUGACCGGGCCCGUGGGCUCGGACAUACGGCGCCCACCUACGUAAGUAGGUUCCCGGGAUCGCACGUCCCACGGCCAGGGUGGCCCCUAU